AAGGGAGACCUAAUUCGGGUAUAAGACGAAAAAAGAGUAGUCGAAACCAAGAAUCAAUCCCAAAAGGUCGGAACGAGGUAUGUGGCUUUCAAACUAGGUUCUGGGUUCACACAAGACCUGAAUCAGGAACAAGGGCUAUUAGCUCAGGUGGUUAGAGCGCACCCCUGAUAAGGGUGAGGUCCCUGGUUCGAGUCCAGGAUGGCCCACCUGCACAGGUGGCCAAAACAAAGAAGCGAGGAAUCAGCACCUUAUCUUAUCUAUAUAUAAGAGAGAAUGCUGGCUCUGAGUAAAGAGUCCAGAGGAACCUUGAAAACUGCAUAGAGCUAGGUGAAAAAGCCAAAAAAGAAGACCGCAA
RNAcentral lists this transfer RNA (355 nucleotides) under uncultured Microcystis sp. RNAcentral describes it as "partial 16S-23S ribosomal RNA intergenic spacer". The stretch from base 133 to 206 matches the Rfam family "tRNA". Lineage: Bacteria; Bacillati; Cyanobacteriota; Cyanophyceae; Chroococcales; Microcystaceae. The record is from RNAcentral.